CGUCUAGGCGGACUGUCAAGUCAGGUGUGAAAGCCCACGGCUCAACCGUGGAAUUGCACUUGAAACUGGCAGUCUUGAGUACGGAAGAGGAAAGCGGAAUUCCUGGUGUAGCGGUGAAAUGCGUAGAUAUCAGGAAGAACACCGGUGGCGAAGGCGGCAUUCUGGUCCGAUACUGACGCUGAAGCGCGAAAGUGUGGGGAGCGAACA
This 207-nucleotide ribosomal RNA is filed under the name uncultured bacterium. Its description in RNAcentral is "partial 16S ribosomal RNA". It matches the Rfam family "Bacterial small subunit ribosomal RNA", at positions 568 to 774 of the family's 1533-position model. The record is from RNAcentral.